This 53-nucleotide transfer RNA is filed under the name Tetragnatha macilenta. RNAcentral's name for it is "tRNA-Lys". Lineage: Eukaryota; Metazoa; Arthropoda; Arachnida; Araneae; Tetragnathidae. The record is from RNAcentral.
UUUUAAAAGUGGCCGAAUAUAGGUGUUAGUCUCUUAAAUUAAUCAUGAAAAUU